UAUGUGAUCGUCUCUCGCAUAUCAAUAAGCGGAGGAAAAGAAACUAACAAGGAUUCCCCUAGUAACGGCGAGUGAAGCGGGAAGAGCUCAAAUUUGAAAUCUUAAAGGGUUUCCCUUUACGAAUUGUAGUUUAAAGAAGUGUUUUCUGUUGAGGUUUUGGUAAAAGUUCUUUGGAAUAGGACAUCAUAGAGGGUGAGAAUCCCGUAUUUGACCUUUACUUUCAACUUUGUGAUACACUUUCAAAGAGUCGGAUUGUUUGGGAAUGCAGUCCAAAAUGGGUGGUAAAUUUCAUCUAAAGCUAAAUAUUGGCGAGAGACCGAUAGCGAACAAGUACCGUGAGGGAAAGAUGAAAAGAACUUUGAAAAGAGAGUUAAACAGUACGUGAAAUUGUCAAAAGGGAAGCGUUUGACACCAGUGUUGUUUUCUGAAAAUCAAUUAAAGAACUGUUUAUGCUAAGUUGUUUAGACUUUAUCAGCUAUCUGCUUAGUUUUGAGCUUUUCUUUAAUGCACUUUUCAGUUAACAAGUCAACAUCAAUUUCUUUUGCUGUAAAAAAGCUUGAGGAAGGUGGCUUGAGAUUCGUCUUAAGUGUUUAUAGCCUCUUGCCUAUGCAGUCGGAGAGAUUGAGGUCUGCAGCGUAGAUCCUUCGGGGCUAAAUGCAUUUGUGCUAAGUUAUAACAUUUUAUAGACAACUUGUUGACUAUGAUUUGUCUUGUAGCUUACUCGCUUAUGUUAUUUUACCUACGCUUAGGAUGUUGAGUAGCGACAUACGCAC
This 773-nucleotide ribosomal RNA is filed under the name uncultured Neocallimastigales. RNAcentral describes it as "partial large subunit ribosomal RNA". It matches the Rfam family "Eukaryotic large subunit ribosomal RNA", at positions 24 to 649 of the family's 3401-position model. Lineage: Eukaryota; Fungi; Neocallimastigomycota; Neocallimastigomycetes; Neocallimastigales. The record is from RNAcentral.